AAAGGCAGAGAGGGUGUGCGCCAGCCCCAGCCGCCCACGAACCGCUGGGAGCAGACCCCUCUCUCUGGCCUGGAGGGGACACGGUGCCACUGACUUGAGCCUGGAACCAAAGGGCGGGGUACCCAUGCACCCCUGUGCUGAGAGAUUCGCUGAGAGCCGCGCAGAGGGCCCCAGAGUCCAAACAGGACACCCAGGAUUGAGGCGAGGUUAGGAAACGCACAGUACCUGAGGUCCUCACUUUCAGGGCUCCCUGAGUGAUGAAAGGGGGGCUGGGAGAAGGCAGAGGCUGCCCGGGAGAGAAGAGCAGCUUUGGGGGGUUCUGGGUCCCCGCACCCCACCCCGCACUAACCAACUCCCCCAGCCCCAGAUAGAAGGGGAGCUGGGCAGGUUCUGGGGGGUCAGCCCCAGGCAGGACCGCUCCCCAACACCCUUCCCUUGGUUACCCUCAGGUAUGGAGUCCAGAGUGGAGUCAGCCAUGCUCAGACCUUGACCCCCUUUUUUUAAAUUUAAUUUUUAGUAGAGAUAGGGGGUCUCACUAUGUUGCCCAGGCUAGCCUCAAACUCCCAAUCUCAAGCGAUCCUCCCCCCUUGGCUUCCAAAGUGCUGAGAUUACGGAUCUGAGCCUCCACGCCUGCCCUGAGCCUCGCCCUGCGGCUGCCUGGGCUCCUCCCCGCCUCCGCCCCGGACCACCAGGGGGCGCUGUGAAGCCUGAGACUGGCCGGGCUUCACCUUGGACCCGCCAGGAGUCCCUGCAGGAGUUGGGAGCCCCGCCAGCCACAGCUACUUCCCCGACCCUCCCGGCUUCCCACCGCUGAUUGGACCAGGCAUGGGCAUCUGACUGAGGGGAGCCUAUCCAUAGGCUGGCCAGUGAUCUAUCAGGGCUGGCCUAGUGAGAACACGGCCAAUCAGAUGCUUUCCUGGAACCCGGGGCCAAAGCUGCCCCAGGGGAGUGUGGUAGCCGCAGGCAGAAGGGCUAGCCCGGAGACAGGAGGGGGAGGUCCGAGGAGGGGAUCCCGGCGAGGGAGACGCGGGGCGAGUGGCCUGGGCUCCUCCUUGGCUUGACCCAGCUUAGACUUUCUCAAACCGAAGUCAUUCUCGCUGGCUCCUGGCGACUCUCAUCCUGUCCGCUGUCACCCUUUCGUGAUUGACCUGAAAUCACUUCGUCACUGCAGCCGCACCCUAAGCAUUCAUCUCAUAUCUGUGAUGUUUGCUGUGCUCCUUAUGUUUGCUCUAAUAUGGGUUAAACCAAAUUCAACACCAUCAAAAUAAUGUUCUUCCAUUUGCACACCCACUUUCACAGUAGCAGCGUUCCCAACAGCCAAAAGGUGGGAGCAGCCCACGGGUCCACGGACGGGUGAAGGGGUGAGCAAACAGUCUAUACGGACAGUGGAGAGCUCUUUAACCGCAGAAAGAAGGAAAUUCUGCAUAUGCUGCAACAUGGAUGAAAGACACAGAGUCUGGCUCUGGGGCCCAGGCUUGAGUGCAGUGGUGAGACGGGAGAAUAAGUCCUAGAGGAAGGGAACCUGAGGACUUCCCAGAACUAAAUCAGAUGGAGAGGAGAGAGGAGGCAUUUCAGCUACGACAGGAAAUAUCCUCUUCAUUUGCAUAGGGCGUUCACCAAGGUGCACACCAAAUAACCAAUGGAAACCUCUAGAGAGUAUUUAAACUCCAGAAAAUUCUGUGACGGGCUCUUGAGCCAACGUGCUCCGGCCGCUCCCACUCUGUGCAGUCGACUGUACUUUUGUUUUCAAUAAAACUCUGCUUUUGUUUCUUCA
RNAcentral lists this long non-coding RNA (1774 nucleotides) under Homo sapiens (human). RNAcentral describes it as "HSALNT0379435". The record is from RNAcentral. Lineage: Eukaryota; Metazoa; Chordata; Mammalia; Primates; Hominidae.